This 497-nucleotide ribosomal RNA is filed under the name uncultured bacterium. RNAcentral describes it as "partial 16S ribosomal RNA". It matches the Rfam family "Bacterial small subunit ribosomal RNA", at positions 28 to 507 of the family's 1533-position model. The record is from RNAcentral.
GAUGAACGCUGGCGGCGUGCCUAAUACAUGCAAGUCGAGCGAACGGACGAGAAGCUUGCUUCUCUGAUGUUAGCGGCGGACGGGUGAGUAACACGUGGAUAACCUACCUAUAAGACUGGGAUAACUUCGGGAAACCGGAGCUAAUACCGGAUAAUAUUUUGAACCGCAUGGUUCAAAAGUGAAAGACGGUCUUGCUGUCACUUAAAGAUGGAUCAGCGCUGCAUUAGCUUGUUGGUAAGGUGACGGCUUACCAACGCAAGUAUGCAUAGCCGACCCCAGAGGGUCAUCGCCCACCCGGGAACUGAGACACGGCCGACACUCCUACGGUGGGCCGCAGUAGGGAAUCUUCCGCAAGGGGCGAAAGCCUGACGUUGCAACGCCGCGUGAGUGAUGAAGGUCUUCGGAUCGUAAAACGCUGUUAUUAUGGAAGAACAUAUGUGUAAGUAACUGUGCACAUCUUGACGGUACCGAAUCAGAAAGCCCCGGCUAACUACGUG